UCCAAGGUAUUACUGAUAUUAGACUUUACAGAGGAGACCACAUUGGGACUGAAGAAAAUGCCAGAUUUAUUGAAGUUCACCACUUGUCCAGAAGCAGCUGCAUAGGUAUUGAGAAUAGAUUUAAUACUAUCUGCUUCCUUCAGUCUAGCAUUAAAAAAUAGCAGAGAAUCAUCUGCAAAAAAUAAAUGUGAGAUCUUUGGGCAUCUAGCACUUGCCCUACAGCCCUGCAAACAGCCC
RNAcentral lists this long non-coding RNA (237 nucleotides) under Manihot esculenta (cassava). RNAcentral's name for it is "long non-coding RNA (MESC_LNC005818)". Lineage: Eukaryota; Viridiplantae; Streptophyta; Magnoliopsida; Malpighiales; Euphorbiaceae. The record is from RNAcentral.